This 459-nucleotide ribosomal RNA is filed under the name uncultured bacterium. RNAcentral's name for it is "partial 16S ribosomal RNA". It matches the Rfam family "Bacterial small subunit ribosomal RNA", at positions 339 to 795 of the family's 1533-position model. The record is from RNAcentral.
CUACGGGACGCACCAGUGAGGAAUAUUGCGCAAUGGACGAAAGUCUGACGCAGCCAUGCCGCGUGCAGGAUGACGGCGCUAUGCGUUGUAAACUGCUUUUAUAGGCCAAGAAACCUUCGGACGUGUCCGAAGCUGACGGUAGCAUAUGAAUAAGCACCGGCUAACUCCGUGCCAGCAGCCGCGGUAAUACGGAGGGUGCUAGCGUUAUCCGGAUUUAUUGGGUUUAAAGGGUCCGUAGGCGGAUCAUUAAGUCAGUGGUGAAAGCCGGCAGCUCAACUGUCGAACUGCCAUUGAUACUGGUGAUCUUGAAUACGGUUGAAGUUGGCGGAAUAGGUCAUGUAGCGGUGAAAUGCUUAGAUAUGACCUAGAACACCGAUUGCGAAGGCAGCCAACUAAGCCGUUAUUGACGCUGAGGGACGAAAGCGUGGGGAGCGAACAGGAUUAGAUACCCUCGUAGUC